Molecule: ribosomal RNA, 253 nt
Filed under: uncultured bacterium
Lineage: Bacteria
Description: partial 16S ribosomal RNA
Rfam family: Bacterial small subunit ribosomal RNA
Source: RNAcentral
UACGAAGGGGGCUAGCGUUGUUCGGAAUUACUGGGCGUAAAGCGCACGUAGGCGGCUUUGUAAGUUAGAGGUGAAAGCCCGGGGCUCAACUCCGGAAUUGCCUUUAAGACUGCAUCGCUAGAAUUGUGGAGAGGUAAGUGGAAUUCCGAGUGUAGAGGUGAAAUUCGUAGAUAUUCGGAAGAACACCAGUGGCGAAGGCGACUUACUGGACACAUAUUGACGCUGAGGAGCGAAAGCGUGGGGAGCGAACAGG